RNAcentral lists this transfer RNA (89 nucleotides) under Danio rerio (zebrafish). It matches the Rfam family "tRNA". Rfam says of the family: Transfer RNA (tRNA) molecules are approximately 80 nucleotides in length. The record is from Rfam by way of RNAcentral. Lineage: Eukaryota; Metazoa; Chordata; Actinopteri; Cypriniformes; Danionidae.
GGCUCUGUGGCGCAAUGGAUAGCGCAUUAGACUUCUAGGCUGUGAGCUGAGCCAUUCAAAGGCUGUGGGUUCGAGUCCCACCAGAGUCG